UUUUUUAUUGGGACUAACAAUACGGCCUUUAAAGGCCACAUAAACCUAACAUCUCCGACUUAGCCUUUAGAGGCUUUACAAUCUCUCUUCCUUACAUUCUCAUCCCCCAAUUACAAUAUAUAUCUCAAGUAUUUUCACUUAUUCUGUCUUAUUACAUUAAUCAUGGCUUUCACUAUGAAUCCUGUCACAAAGGAUAUAUGGAGACAUUGCAUAUUUCUCUUUGCUGCUCGGAUCUUAUCUCGAACGUGGUCGUACUCCAUCUUUCAUGUCACAUCACGAAUCAUAGACCUGUUUUCACAGAAGAUCAUCAUGUACCAUAAUCGCAUGGGGUCGUAUCUUCAAGGGCUUAAUGCAAUUCUUCAAUCAAGUUGCACCUUUUUGUAGCCAUAUAACUAGUGUCACGCAUCCUGGUUCCAUGGGUGAACAAUAUAUUGUUAUUCCGGCCAACGCAUCAAACACAAGCAGGUGCUCUCACUGAAACAUUGAGUUUAUAUUGGUAUUUCAUAAUAUGAUACCUGUAUUUGAAUAUCCAAGUAGCUAAAAUAUAAUUGUGGGAUUAACUGCUCCAACUCAAACAUAACACGUAAAAAUUAUUAUCUCGUCAUUCUCAUGCCUGUGUCAUGAGGUAGUAUAACAAGUCUCAUGCCAAAUAGUAACUCAAUGCCCAAUUGGUUUCGUAAAAAUGUUAAACCAUUUUUCAAACCACAAAGGUUCAACCAUACUAGUUUUUUGGUUGCAAAUUCAUACAAAUCAAGUUAUUUAAUCAACACAACAUGUGUCAAGGAAUCCUAACAAAAUGGCCAUCCUAUGACAUACCAUAUGGAUCAUGGUCUUAGGUAAUCGAGGAUUCUAAAGAACUCAAAACAUGUCACAUAAUCAGUACUAAGAAAACAUGAGUAAAGACAUGUGGGUAUUUAAAAACAGUGCAUAGAUUAAUGACAGUGUCUCACAUGUACAUCGAAUACUCUCAAGACCUAAUGUUUUUCCUUAUAUAAAAAACUCUUGACUUGGUAUAUUUUCACAAAUAAUAGAUAGAAAAUAGCAUGGUGGUUUAAAACUUUUUUAAAUACUUAGUGGACCUUGCAAGACCAUGGAGUUUUCUCAAAACCAUAUCCAUUAACUUAGGUUUUUUUUUUCACAAGUGAUCCAAUUAAAUUUUAAAAUACAUAAUUAGUCUUCUUAAAUCAUUUUAUCGCAUUCACCUUUAAUUACUUACCAAAUCAUGUUUAUAGCCACAAAAACAAAUUAUAAAGUUCAUCUUAUAAUUUUAUUCAAAAUAAAUCAUGACCAAAGAAAUGGUUAUCAAAACCUGACAAAACACUUUUUAUUGGCAAAUAUGGAUACCUAAUCAUGAAUUCAUUAUCAUAUACAACACAUCAUAUAAGUGGACAUUAUUGAGAGGAUGAUUACUAAGACCACAUUCCAUCGGAAGACUCCCUUCGUGCUUACAUAUUUAAAUGAGCCACACCCAUUUCUCAUGUUUGAUACUAAAUCUCAUAGUCCUUGAUUAAACUAAAUCUUCAUGUGUAUCACUACAUUAAGUAAUUCAUACUUAAGCACGCUGAGGCAUAAAAACACAAGGUAUUAAAAAAUUGACUCUUUCAAAUUUGUUAGCACCUAUCACUUAAUAUCUAUACACUUUAUAUUUAUUCAUAAACAAAACAGCUAAAAUAUAAUCAAAGACGUAUAUAAAACAAAAAAGUUAUUGAAUCACCUUUUCUUAUAUGACCUUACUAUGUAAUGUAGGAUAAAUUUCAUACCUCAAAACCAUGUAGUGUGGUACCUAGGAUUUCUUGAUUCUUUACUUUUAUUUGUUGUCGAAAAUUUGUGAUAUUGGAAGAGUACACAACUGAUGAAGAACCACCCAAUCAUCACCUUUUACAUGUUGAUGAAGCAUCCACCACUUUGUCCUAUGGAUUCUCCCUUACAUAUAUGAAGAAAUACUCUUCUUCAUGUCAUCACACCAAAAAUCAGAAUCUUGAUAUUCCCAUUGAUCACAGUGUUUCUAUGCUACCACUAAGGCUCUCUACGCAUCGCUUCAUUAUGAAUAGAAACCAAGAUGUUUUUAUAGGUAUUGUAUUUUUUCUUCUUUCUGUAAUUCCCAGAUUGAGCACUCUUCACUUAAAGUAUCAUAUGUCGCCAACUCUGUAUUACCUCUCUCUGAAGUUUUUACUAUAAACCAUACUCAUGGCAUACUAUGAAACUUUUGAAUGAGCCCAAAAAGGCUUCAUUAUGAUGAAUACCUAUAUGUGCAUUAACAUGCCACAUCUUUCAAUUUACUGCAGAAAAGAAGAUGAGCAUCCCAUGAUAAAAAUAUAAUAUCGUUCAACUCUUAAAAAGUUUAUCUUUGAAUAUUUUUGGACUAUUGGAAUAGACUAAAAAAUACAACAGUGUGCUCAGUUCCAUUCCUAAAUCAUACCAUUUAGUAAGUCUACGAUUUUAGCGACAUUCACGUCACAAUACAGUUUUCAUAGUAGAAAAUCAUGUUAUGCACCUCUCAAUGAAAUAUUGUUUCUCUCAAUUCACAAUACAUUUUUUUGUUGAAAACUAGACUCAAAACCAAGUAUAACUUGAUGAUGUGAAUCUCAAAUAAUAUACUUUUUUUGAUAAAUAAAUAAGUGACAUUCACGGCACAAAAUAUAUCUUACUUCAAAAUUCUAAGAUGAACACUAUCUAGUAAAAUUGUAUUUUCUCUCUACCCACAAGGGGUUUCCUUCAAACCAUAUUUGUUUGAAAUUAGACACAAAAAAGUCUACAAAUAUCUUUCUACAGGUAUCAUAUCACUAUGUUAAGUAGACUUAAAAAAUAUAAAUAUUCACAUCUCCAUGAAACACAUCAAACUGUAAAAAUACCAGAUGACCUCUCUCUAAUCAAAAAAUUUUAUUCCUUAUUUCUCAUGGAUAUUUUUCUCAAAUAAUUUUUAUAAGAGACUAGACUCAAAAUGAAUGUCCAGAAACUUAAUAAGGGCCUUAAAACAGUAUUUUAUGAAUAGAAAUAAAAUCAUGACUUCGAAAUCAUUGAAACAUUUACAUUGCAAAAAACAUCACUUACUCAUCGUUCAAUUAAAUAACUAUAUCUUUCUAACCACAAGGAUUUUCUUCAUGAAACUAUUUUUAUUUGCAAGUAGACUCAAUUUGAUGUGUUGAAGUCAAAUUUCAGGUAAAAAAUAUAAUCAUACGAUUGGUAGAAAAAUUCACGGGACUCAAUAGAAAGUUCUUGGAUUAUGCAUGGUCAAAACUGACACCAUUUAUUGGUGAGUCCAUAACUCUCAAUUCCCCUAGGAUCUCCUACUGAAAUUUUGCAGGUAGAUUCUACUCUCAAAAGCACAUAAUAUCAUUAAGUAUGAUUCAAAUAAAUACCUAAUUAUGUUGUGCAUAUCAGUGCUCCAAAAUGACAAUAAUACUUGAUUUUGCAUAGUGCAUUCUUCGUGCUUGACUGAGCCAGUAAUUCUUUCGGAAGUGUAUCACUUGACCAUAAAAGUCCUUGGCUUUCUUAUAUCUCAUUCCCAACUCACCAAAAUUUGUAAAAUAAAAGAAAUAGGGCAGUAAGUAGAGUUCGCUCUGAUACCAAUGAAAGUUGGACAAUGUGAUCUAGCAUGGUGUAUAUAAAUUUAAAAUUUUUAUUUUUUCUUUUAUUUUUCACCAACUAGAUCACUCACAAUGGUCUAAGUAUAAUAAAAUUCUCUUGCAAUGUACAAGUACACAAAUAAACAAAUAAAAAUGGUUUUCUCUUGCUACCAUUAAUUACAACCUUUCAUUGAAUAAACAAAAUGUAACACAAAUAAUCCAAGGACUCUCACUUCCUGCUACUUUAACAAUUCUUUUAUUAUACAAAUAGAAUUGCAUAAACUUGAUAUUGGGAACAUGAAGAACAUAACACUCAUGGAAAUAAGGGAUCAUAAUAAAGCAUAAAAGGAAAAAUACUGCAAAACACAAAGUAAAAGAUUGUUGGAGAUUAUCUCAACGGGCUUAUUACACCCUACAUUGAGUCUCCUCAUUCUAGUGGUACUCGGUCUUUUGACUCUACUAUGUAUAACAAGACUUUUUCAAAGCCAUAUGGAUCUCGAUCUAAAACCAACUACUUAAUGCUCGAAUGCCCUAGUCUUACUCAUGCCCCAUUAGCUUGAUCUUACAGAGAUGAGAGAUUAAUCAAGAAAGAGAGAGAGAUUUCUUAGCUUGGGCAUGCCCCUCUUUUUAACUAACUAAAGAGGGAUAGAAGAUCUCUUACUUGGGGUAUGCCCCCCUUCUUAGAACCCACUAAGAGAGAGAAAGAUAACCCUAUGUUGGGUAUGGCCCCUAGAGAGAGAAAGAGAGAGCUUAGAGAGAACUAGAUUUUAUCAAGGAGAAUGUGUAUAGAUAAACUCCUUGAAAAGGUAGAAAGAGAUAUAGAGAGG
RNAcentral lists this long non-coding RNA (4393 nucleotides) under Amborella trichopoda. RNAcentral's name for it is "long non-coding RNA (ATRI_LNC000363)". The record is from RNAcentral. Lineage: Eukaryota; Viridiplantae; Streptophyta; Magnoliopsida; Amborellales; Amborellaceae.